This 253-nucleotide ribosomal RNA is filed under the name uncultured bacterium. RNAcentral's name for it is "partial 16S ribosomal RNA". It matches the Rfam family "Bacterial small subunit ribosomal RNA", at positions 524 to 776 of the family's 1533-position model. The record is from RNAcentral.
UACGGAAGGUUCUGGUGUUAUCCGGAUUUAUUGGGUUUAAAGGGAGCGUAGGCCGUCUUUUAAGCGUGUUGUGAAAAGUCCUGGCUUAACCAGGGCCGUGCAGCGCGAACUGGGAGACUUGAGAGUGCAGAAAGCAGGCGGAAUUUGUGGUGUAGCGGUGAAAUGCUUAGAUAUCACGAAGAACUCCGAUUGCGAAGGCAGCUUGCUGUAGUAUAUCUGACGCUGAUGCUCGAAGGUGCGGGUAUCGAACAGG